UGGGGAAUAUUGCACAAUGGGGGAAACCCUGAUGCAGCGACGCCGCGUGAAGGAAGAAGUAUUUCGGUAUGUAAACUUCUAUCAGCGGGAAGAAAAUGACGGUACCUGACUAAGAAGCCCCGGCUAACUACGUGCCAGCAGCCGCGGUAAUACGUAGGGGGCAAGCGUUAUCCGGAUUUACUGGGUGUAAAGGGAGCGUAGACGGCAUGGCAAGUCUGAAGUGAAAGCCCGGGGCUCAACCCCGGGACUGCUUUGGAAACUGUCAGGCUAGAGUGCUGGAGAGGUAAGUGGAAUUCCUAGUGUAGCGGUGAAAUGCUUAGAUAUUGCGCAGAACUCCGAUUGCGAAGGCAGCGUACUGGCGCCUGACUGACGCUGAGGCACGAAAGCGUGGGGAUCGAACAGGAUUAGAUACCC
RNAcentral lists this ribosomal RNA (414 nucleotides) under uncultured bacterium. RNAcentral's name for it is "bacterial SSU rRNA". It matches the Rfam family "Bacterial small subunit ribosomal RNA", at positions 355 to 787 of the family's 1533-position model. The record is from RNAcentral.